Molecule: ribosomal RNA, 124 nt
Filed under: Pogonatum inflexum
Lineage: Eukaryota; Viridiplantae; Streptophyta; Polytrichopsida; Polytrichales; Polytrichaceae
Source: RNAcentral
CUUCCGGGCACUAUGGUAAGACGUGAAAAAACACCCGAUCCCAUUCCGACCUCGAAAUGUGAAAUCGUCUUACGCUAUAUGUACUGAUUUAUAAAUUUCGGGAGACAUGGUCCAAGCCCGGACA